RNAcentral lists this ribosomal RNA (464 nucleotides) under uncultured Staphylococcaceae bacterium. RNAcentral's name for it is "partial 16S ribosomal RNA". It matches the Rfam family "Bacterial small subunit ribosomal RNA", at positions 338 to 794 of the family's 1533-position model. Lineage: Bacteria; Bacillati; Bacillota; Bacilli; Caryophanales; Staphylococcaceae. The record is from RNAcentral.
CCUACGGGAGGCAGCAGUAGGGAAUCUUCCGCAAUGGGCGAAAGCCUGACGGAGCAACGCCGCGUGAGUGAUGAAGGUCUUCGGAUCGUAAAACUCUGUUAUUAGGGAAGAACAAAUGUGUAAGUAACUAUGCACGUCUUGACGGUACCUAAUCAGAAAGCCACGGCUAACUACGUGCCAGCAGCCGCGGUAAUACGUAGGUGGCAAGCGUUAUCCGGAAUUAUUGGGCGUAAAGCGCGCGUAGGCGGUUUUUUAAGUCUGAGGUAAAAGCCCACGGGUCAACCGUGGAGGGUCAUUGGAAACUGGAAAACUUGAGUGCAGAAGAGGAAAGUGGAAUUCCAUGUGUAGCGGUAAAAUGCGCAGAGAUAUGGAGGAACACCAGGGGCGAAGGCGACUUUCGGGUCUGUAACUGACGCUGAUGUGCGAAAGCGUGGGGAUCAAACAGGAUUAGAUACCCCUGUAGU